RNAcentral lists this ribosomal RNA (354 nucleotides) under uncultured bacterium. Its description in RNAcentral is "bacterial SSU rRNA". It matches the Rfam family "Bacterial small subunit ribosomal RNA", at positions 8 to 350 of the family's 1533-position model. The record is from RNAcentral.
AGAGUUUGAUCCUGGCUCAGGAUGAACGCUAGCUACAGGCUUAACACAUGCAAGUCGAGGGGAAACGACAUCGAAAGCUUGCUUUUGAUGGGCGUCGACCGGCGCACGGGUGAGUAACGCGUAUCCAACCUGCCCAUCACUUGGGGAUAACCUUGCGAAAGUAAGACUAAUACCCAAUGACGUCUCUAGAAGACAUCUGAAAGAGAUUAAAGAUUUAUCGGUGAUGGAUGGGGAUGCGUCUGAUUAGCUUGUUGGCGGGGUAACGGCCACCAAGGCGACGAUCAGUAGGGGUUCUGAGAGGAAGGUCCCCCANAUUGGAACUGAGACACGGUCCAAAACUCCGUACGGGAGGGA